Molecule: ribosomal RNA, 1984 nt
Filed under: human gut metagenome
Description: bacterial LSU rRNA
Rfam family: Bacterial large subunit ribosomal RNA
Source: RNAcentral
UUAAGAUACUAAGAGCAUACGGUGGAUGCCUUGGCGAUAUCUGCCGACGAAGGACGUGACAAGCUGCGAAAAGCUGCGGAGAGAUGCAAAUAAUCGGCGACCCGCAGACAUCCGAAUGGAGAAAUCCGGCUGUGAUGAUGCACAGCCAUCCAUGCCCAAGAGCAUGAGAAGGGAACCGGGCGAACUGAAACAUCUAAGUAACCCGAGGAAAAGAAAUCAAACGAGAUACCCCAAGUAGCGGCGAGCGAACAGGGAAGAAGCCCAAACCGGUGAAGGAAACUUUACCGGGGUUGAGGACCAUCAGACCCGCGAAGAACUUUAGCCGAAACUGUUGGGAAACAGUGCCGAAGACAGUGAAAGCCUGGUAGGCGAAAAAGAGAAACGCGGAGAUGGCACCAGAGUACCGCGGGACACGAGAAAUCCCGUGGGAAGCAGGGGGGACCACCCUCCAAGGCAAAACACAGAUAUCGACCGAUAGCGCAUAGUACCAUGAGGGAAAGGUGAAAAGCACCCCGGGAGGGGAAUGAAAGAGAACCUGAAACCGUAUGUUUACAAGCAGUCGGAGACCGCUUAAUAAUAAGGUCGACGGCGUGCCUAUUGAAGAAUGAACCGGCGAGUUACGAAGCCUGGCAAGGUUAAGCAGGAAAUGCGGAGCCGAAGCGAAAGCGAGUCUUAAGAGGGCGCAAGUCAGGAAGCGUAGACCCGAAACCACAGUGAUCUACCCAUGUCCAGGUUGAAACACAGGUAAAAAUGUGUGGAGGACCGAACCUAUAUCCGUUGAAAAGGGUUAGGAUGAGGUGUGGGUAGGGGUGAAAUUCCAAUCGAACGUGGAGAUAGCUGGUUCUCCCCGAAAUAGCUUUAGGGCUAGCCUCAGGGAAAAGAUUGCAGGCGGUAGAGCACUGAUCAGGAGAGGGACCUACCCGGUUACCAAACCCAGUCAAACUCCGAAUGGCUGCAAUCAUACCUGGGAGUCAGACUGCGACUAAUAAGGGCCGCAGUCAAAAGGGAAACAGCCCAGACCAUCAGCUAAGGUCCCCAAUGCCGUGCUAAGUGGCGAAGGAUGUGGCAUUUCAUAAACAACCAGGAUGUUGGCUCAGAAGCAGCCACCAUUUAAAGAGUGCGUAAUAGCUCACUGGUCGAGAGACGCUGCGCCGAAAAUGUCCGGGGCUCAAGCACGGAACCGAAGCUAUGGCAUGAUAGCAAUAUCAUGGGUAGGGGAGCGUUCUUAUAAGGAAGAAGCAUGACCGGAAGGACAUGUGGACAAAUAAGAAGUGAGAAUGCCGGUAUGAGUAUCGAAAAGAAAGGUGAGAAUCCUUUCCACCGAAAGCCCGAGGGUUCCUGAGCAACGAUCGUCGACUCAGGGUAAGUCGGGACCUAAGCCGAGGCGAGAAGCGUAGGCGAUGGACAACAGGUUGAAAUUCCUGUACCGGAUCAAGUCGAUCGAGCGAAGGAGCGACGCAGGAGGGCACAUGAUCGCGCGGCUGGAAGAGCGCGUCCAAGUGCGUAUGUUGCAGCAGAGGAAAACCCCUGCAGCUAAAAGCAGAGACAUGAUGGGGAGUUAAAGGAAACUUUGACGAACUCAUGAAUCCCACACUGCCAAGAAAAACUUCUAGCGAGACAAGAUCCGCCCGUACCGUAAACCGACACAGGUAGGCGGGGAGAGAAUCCUAAGGUGCGCGGGAAAACCCUCGUUAAGGAACUCGGCAAAUUGCAUCCGUAACCUAGGGAGAAGGAUGGCCCCCGGUCAGUGAAGAGCAGAAACGCUCAGAGCUAAAAGGGGCGGCAGAAAAGAGGCCCAAGCAACUGUUUACCAAAAACACAGGUGCCUGCGAAAGCGAAAGCUGAAGUAUAGGUGCUGACGCCUGCCCGGUGCCGGAAGGUUAAGGAGAGAAGUUAGCGAAAGCGAAGCAUCGAACUGAAGCCCCGGUGAACGGCGGCCGUAACUAUAACGGUCCUAAGGUAGCGAAAUUCCUUGUCGGGUAAG